Balaenoptera musculus (blue whale) is the source of this 6752-nucleotide RNA transcript. It is a transcript of the gene named huntingtin interacting protein 1, with no coding region annotated. The transcript has 32 exons. The record is from RefSeq and is a predicted model, not a curated record. Lineage: Eukaryota; Metazoa; Chordata; Mammalia; Artiodactyla; Balaenopteridae.
AUGGACCGGAUGACUAGCUCCAUGAAGCAAGUACCCAACCCCCUGCCAAAGGUGCUGAGCCGACGUGGGGUCGGCGCGGGGAUGGAGGCGGCGGAGCGGGAGAGCUUCGAGCGGACUCAGACUGUCAGCAUCAAUAAGGCCAUUAAUACGCAGGAAGUGGCUGUAAAGGAAAAACACGCCAGAACGUGCAUACUGGGCACCCACCAUGAAAAGGGGGCACAGACCUUUUGGUCUGUUGUCAACCGGCUGCCCCUCUCCAGCAACGCUGUGCUCUGCUGGAAGUUCUGCCACGUGUUCCACAAACUCCUCCGGGAUGGACACCCAAAUGUCCUGAAGGACUCUCUGAGAUACAAAAACGAACUGAGUGACAUGAGCAGGAUGUGGGGCCACCUGAGUGAGGGGUAUGGGCAGCUUUGCAGCAUCUACCUCAAACUGCUGAGAACGAAGAUGGAGUACCACACCAAAAAUCCUAGGUUCCCAGGCAACCUUCAGAUGAGUGACCGGCAGCUGGACGAGGCCGGAGAGAGUGAUGUUAACAACUUUUUCCAGCUGACAGUGGAAAUGUUCGACUACCUGGAGUGUGAACUUAACCUCUUCCAAACUGUGUUCAACUCCCUGGACAUGUCCCGUUCCGUGUCAGUGACAACAGCUGGGCAGUGCCGCCUCGCCCCGCUGAUCCAGGUCAUCUUGGACUGCAGCCACCUCUAUGAUUACACUGUCAAACUUCUCUUCAAACUCCACUCCUGUCUUCCAGCCGACACCCUGCAAGGCCACCGGGACCGCUUCAUGGAGCAGUUCACAAAGUUGAAAGAUCUCUUCUACCGCUCCAGCAACCUUCAGUACUUCAAGCGGCUCAUUCAGAUCCCUCAGCUGCCAGACAACCCACCCAACUUCCUACGAGCCUCCGCCCUGUCAGAGCACAUCAGCCCCGUGGUGGUGAUCCCAGCCGAGGCCUCGUCCCCCGACAGCGAGCCAGUCUUAGAGAAGGAUGACCUCAUGGACAUGGAUGCGUCCCAGCAGAAUUCAUACGACAGCAAGUUCGAUGACAUCUUUGGCAGCUCCUCCAGCAGCGAUCCCUUCAAUUUCAACAGUCAGAACGGCGUGAACAAGGACGAGAAGGAUCACUUAAUUGAUCAACUGUACGGAGAGAUCAGUGGGCUGAAAGCACAGCUGGAAAACAUGAAGACUGAGAGCCAUCGAGCCAUGCUGCAGCUGAAGGGCCGCGUCAGCGAGCUGGAGGCCGAGCUGGCCGAGCAGCAGCACCUGCGGCAGCAGGCGGCCGACGAGAGCGAGUUCCUCCGGGCCGAGCUGGACGAGCUCAAGAAGAAGCGAGAGGACACAGAGAAGGCUCAGCGGAGCCUGACGGAGAUCGAGAGGAAAGCCCAAGCCAACGAGCAGCGCUACAGCAAGCUAAAAGAGAAGUACAGCGAGCUGGUGCAGAACCACGCCGACCUGCUGCGGAAGAAUGCAGAGGUGACCAAACAGGUGUCCGUGGCCAGACAAGCCCAAGUGGAUUUGGAACGAGAGAAAAAAGAGCUAGAGGAUUCUUUCCAGCGCAUAAGCGACCAGGCCCAGCGGAAGACUCAAGAACAGACGGAAGUACUAGAGAGUUUGAAGCAAGAACUUGCCACCAGCAAACAGGAACUCCGUAUUGUCCAAGGCAGCCUGGAAAGUUCUGCCCAGUCAGAAGCAAAAUGGACCGCCCAGAUCGCCGAGCUGGAGAAGGAGCGGGGCAGCCUGGUGGAUGCCGUGGCUUGUCGAGAGGAGGAACUGUCCAGUCUUCGGGAACAGCUGGAAUACACCCAGAUCAAACUGUCCAGCACACAGGAAUCUGUAAGCCGGCUCGCGAAGGACCAACGAAAAAUGCUUCUGGCGGAGUCGAGGAGGGCUGCUGUGCAGGUGGUGCAGGAGGCCCUGAGGCGGUUUGAGGAGCCCACUCUCUUCAGCUGCGCCGGAUCUGCAGAUCACCUACUCUCCACGGUCAGGUCCGUUUCCAGCUGCAUCGAGCAACUGGAAAAAUGCUGGAGCCAGUAUCUGGCCUGCCCAGAAGAUAUCAGUGGGCUUCUCCACUCGGUAACCCUCCUGGCCCACUUAACCAGUGACACCAUUGUUCAUGGCAGCACCACCUGCCUUAGAGCCCCGCCAGAGCCUGCCGACUCUCUGACCGAGGCCUGUAAGCAGUAUGGCAGGGAGACCCUCACCUAUCUGUCUUUCCUGGAGGAUGAAGGAAUCGUCGAGAAUGCCGACAGCACAGCCAUGAGGAGCUGCCUCAGCAGGAUCACAGCCAUUGGCGAGGAGCUCCUGCCCAGAGGCCUGGACAUCAAACAGGAGGAACUGGGGGACCUGGUGGACAAAGAGAUGGCUGCCACUUCCGCUGCCAUUGAAACCGCUACGGCCAGAAUAGAGGAGAUGCUCAGCAAAUCCCGAGCUGGAGACACAGGAGUUAAAUUGGAGGUGAAUGAAAGGAUCCUUGGCUCCUGUACCAGCCUAAUGCAGGCUAUUCAGGUCCUGAUCGUGGCCUCAAAGGAGCUCCAGAGAGAGAUAGUGGAGAGUGGCCGGGGUACAGCAUCCCCUAAAGAGUUUUAUGCCAAGAAUUCUCGAUGGACGGAAGGACUUAUCUCAGCCUCUAAAGCUGUGGGCUGGGGAGCCACUGUCAUGGUGGAUGCAGCUGAUCUGGUGGUACAAGGCCGAGGGAAAUUCGAGGAGCUGAUGGUCUGUUCGCAUGAAAUUGCUGCUAGCACCGCCCAGCUUGUGGCCGCAUCCAAGGUGAAAGCGGAUAAGGACAGCCCAAACCUGACCCAGCUGCAGCAGGCCUCUCGGGGCGUGAACCAGGCCACCGCCGCAGUUGUGGCCUCAACCAUUUCCGGCAAAUCACAGAUCGAGGACACAGACAGCAUGGACUUCUCAAGCAUGACGCUGACCCAGAUCAAACGCCAGGAGAUGGAUUCCCAGGUUAGGGUGCUGGAGCUAGAAAACGAACUGCAAAAGGAGCGUCAAAAACUGGGAGAGCUUCGGAAAAAGCAUUACGAGCUCGCUGGUGUCGCCGAGGGCUGGGAGGAAGGAACAGAAGCAUCACCACCUACGCUGCAAGAAGCGAUCACCGAAAAAGAAUAGAGUCACACCGACAUCCCACAGGUCAGAGUGUAAAUCCUUGCUGCCCAUCUGUGUGUGUGUGUGACUCCCCCAGUCACGGGCCAGACCCUGGGGGUCCACGCCACGCCCGUCAUCCAGUGCUGAGGACCUGCCCGGCCUUCCAGAGACUCCCUCCACAGCCCAUGUUCUGUGUUCUUUCACUACCCGCCCCCCCGACCGCCAAAAAGAGGGGAGCCCAGGGCCACCCUGACAGAGGGGACCUCCUUCCAGCCUUUUCCGUUUCAUCAUUUGCACAAACUUGUGAACACUGGGGGACUGGUGGAUUCCAAACCGUGACCCGACCCUGAGGCUGCACGGAGUCGGAAGAAGAGCAGGAGUGUCCUGGCUGAGAACGCCAAGGCAGUGCCCCCCUCUUUUGGCAGUUCCAUGGAUUCCCACUGCUUCUCAUGGUGGUCGGGUCUUUUUUUCCCAAGUUUCACUCACAUAGCCAACACUCCCAGGGGAUCGCCCCUGAAGCCCUGAGCUAUUGGGGGCCCCUAACCACAGCAGCUCACAGCAAUGGUGCUGCCUAGGCUUCGCCACGGUGCUCCCCGCCGGCCCCCCGAGCCAAGUGUCCUGCUGAGCGAGUAUGGGUCGGCCGAGGCCACUCCCCGGGGUCGGGCGGAAGGAGAGCGAGUGCCUUGCCUUCUAAAGCUGGAGCCCAGCCGAAAGCCUCUGCCCACCUUCACAAGUGAGGGGCGACAGAGAGAGGGAGAGGAAGGGUGCACACAGCCCAGGUCUUCAGGAGACCACCUUUCUUGGAAACUCCUUGUGACCGGGCUGAAAAGCCUUAUCCCAUGCUUGAACCCAGCCGGUGAGAGUAGCCACACUUCCUCCCCCCAGAAGGAAUCUUCCAUGGCCCGUCAAGUUGACACCUCCCUUCAUACCCAGGCAGGGCCCUAAGAGGGAACACGUGAGGGGUUUCCAAUCCCUUUCUCCAAAUGUCUGCCUUGGCAUCCUCUUGAAUCUCAAGAAGAUAGUUCCAUGUUCUACCUAAUCGACAGACCCAGAAGAUCAGGCCAACUUGCUCCCAGCAGGAAAGACCCUGGGCUUGGUUUGGUACCUUGAAUAUUAUGACUAAUCCCCAUCAGCAGCAGUGCUGGCAGCAAGCAGGAUUUCAGGUGUGACUAUGGCUGGGCUUGCGUUGCUGCCUGAGUACAUCCGCCUUCAAGAAUCGGAAACAAGACCUAGAGGCCAUCCCGAUCUGUCAUUGCUGGUUUGGAUCUUGAAGCAAGAAAGUUCCUCAGAGCAUCUGGGUCAGGGAAAACAAGAGAGGGGGACCACUGGCUCUAACCCCUUCCAACCACACAUCCCGGGCCCUGGAUGCCUUGCGGACAGGAUGAGGACAGAAGGAGCAUGAAUGAUGUCCUGGAGAUGGGCGGCCCGCCAGCACUUCUUCACCUCCAGAUGGACCCCAGCAUUUAAGUGACCUUCCCAUCUUGGACAAACAAUGUCUUCCUUUAUCUGUAGCGAUUCAUAGGUAGUAGCCAACAAGCACUUCCCAGGACCUGUCCCCAGGGACCAUUGCUGAGUGUCGCUACGUGACAGGUUGUGAGACUCUCGUUUGAUCACUGUGAAUCAACUCUCUCUCCUUCCUAAGCCCCCACCGCCAACUCCCUUUCUCUGCAAUUUCUAACUAGGGCACUCAAAAAGCUGCGUCCCAUUAGCUCAGAUUAUGAGACUCAGACGUGUGAUCUCCAUACUGGGCUAACGAGAUAGCAGCAGUGGAAAUUGACCGGUCUUACGUUUACUGCUUCUUUGUGCUCAACUAUUUUUCCACCCAAGCCUCAGAAGGAAUGAUGUGUAGCACCCCUGGCCCAGCUGUGCCAGUUAAGCCAAUUGGUGUGUUCUCAGCGUGGGUCAACAUUUCCAAAGGUGGCUGGUCCUCACUUCCAGAAUCUCAGCCAUUCAGACUAUUGUGCUCCAAAUUACCAAUGGGGGAAAAAUCUAGUAUAUGGGACCAGAUUAGGAUUCCCUGAGUAACACUCCCUCUAAAAAGAAGCCACAGUCAUUUUUAAAACCUUCAUGGGCUUCUCCGGAGUAAUAAAACAGUUAAGAAAGCACUUAAACAGGAACACAGGCUAAUUCAGUCUCACAUGAGGAAAUAUAUGUCAGAAUUAGUAUAAUUACUUUCAUAAUCGCUUGACUUAGAAGCUAGUCCGUUCUCUAGCGCAAAUCAAAAUGUCGUACCUUGGCUACUCUAAAAAUGAGUGUGCUAUCCUGGGUGUGAAAUGCCUUGGUUAAAACAGGAAUCACAUCCUCAGGCUAAAAAUGAACCUCACAGCCUUUUAAAUUAGUCACUGAGCAUCAUUCGUGACUUGAGUCUCAUGGGUCAGUGUAAAUGGGUCAGAGCAAGGCAGGACAACAAUGAAGUGAUGGCUUAGGGUUGACGAGAGGCCGAAAUACAGCCGUAUCCAGUAUUUUAAUUGUGUAGCACAGUGUCUCAUAUCUCUAGAGUAAGGAAGGAUAUGAGUGUACAUAAUAAGGAACAAAAAUUGAAGGAAAGACCUACCUUUGUGGGGUUAUUUAUAUCUGAGCACGGAGUUUCAAUGAGACUCGAAUUUAGAUUGUUUGCUGAUUCUGCUGCCCACAGCAGGAUCCCUAGGAUCCUACCUGAAUUUGAGUCCCUGACCCAGUGGCUGGAAGAACCACUGUCCAGAGCAUCCUUUCUUGGAAGUGUCUGGGCUGCCAAGGCAGAGAGCAGGGUUUACACCGGGUACCACGGGGAUCACGAGCGCGUGUCUCCAGGCCGGUUGGUUUGCUUCAGCCUCUCACUGAGAAGCCGGUUCUGGGCUCACACCUGGGUGCUGCUGCCUGCUUCUUGGGCAGCUCCUUAGUCUGGAUCUCCUGGCUCCACUUACCUUGGUCUUUACCAAGUGGUGAUAUUCUUGCUACCUUCUACCACCUUUCUGCGUCUCUGGAAAUCCUUUCUGCCAGUGAAAGCCUUCAGUCCUGGCAUUGGCCUUCCAACCAGACUGGCUUUGCCCUCUCUCCACCAUCCUCGGUCCUCCAGAGACCGCGCUGCCUGUUGCAUAGAAAACCACCACCUCGGGCCUGCCAGCCAUCAACACAGCAAACCAGGCCAGCUGUCUACUGCUCACAUCUCCCAGGUCCAGAGCAAAUACAGGAUUAGCAACCCACAGUGGCAACUUGGCCUCUCACCCCAGGAGCCAAAGCAACAUGAAACAAUUGGUCAAACAUCGUUGGGUCCGAUUCUGAGAGUAGGUGAUUUCCAGACAUGUCUUUCAGGUGACCCUCAACUACCUCAGGUUUGAAGGCCCUAAAUUAGGCUGAUUACUACUCACAGGGACAAACUGAGGGGGUUCAGAUAAAUCUUGGUGAUAAUGCAAUUGUCUCAAACUUACAACAAACUCUCACAUUUAGGUUUUCAGGGAUGGGAUUGGGUUUUUUCUUCUGUUUUUAACCUUUUCCCCAAUUUUCCAUUAGAAUAGUUCCUAUAAAUGAAUUUCAUUUUUCACUGAGUGCCUACCUUCCCAGGGCAGGUAGCCACUGGCUUUGUUUCCUUCCAACAGUACUUUUAUUAUGGUAUUAAGACUUUUCUUUGUAUAAUACAUUGCAUCUGUGUUUUCAAUUUUUCAAUAAAUAUUUCAACCUGGCAA